This 207-nucleotide unclassified non-coding RNA is filed under the name uncultured fungus. RNAcentral's name for it is "sequence contains ITS1, 5.8S rRNA gene". The stretch from base 159 to 207 matches the Rfam family "5.8S ribosomal RNA", at positions 1 to 49 of the family's 154-position model. The record is from RNAcentral. Lineage: Eukaryota; Fungi.
UUUCCGUAGGUGAACCUGCGAAAGGAUCAUUAUUGUGAACCGGGGCGGCGCAAGCCGUCCCAAUCCAAACCCUCUGUGAACAACACUGCCGUUGGCGCAAGCCGGCGGCGACCUUUACACCUGUCGUACUACGUCCAGAAAGUAAAACAAAAGCGUACAACUCUCCACGAUGGCUCUCUUGGCUCUCGCAUCGAUGAAGAACGCAGC